RNAcentral lists this long non-coding RNA (1890 nucleotides) under Homo sapiens (human). RNAcentral describes it as "HSALNT0198989". Lineage: Eukaryota; Metazoa; Chordata; Mammalia; Primates; Hominidae. The record is from RNAcentral.
CGCCUUCGCCGGAAGCUGCCUUGUAUCCGCGUCUCCGCAGGGAAAACUGCGGCUGGCGGUGCGGGAAGUGCUAUUAGUAGUUGUUUAUUUGUUUGUUUGCAGAAAUAAUUGCUUGGGUACGAAGGUCAAACGAGAAUGAAGCAAGUAUAUUAUCUAGUUUGUAUGUCUUUAAAUAGUUUCUCCUCCACACGUCUAAACAUACGCACCUGCUAGUAGGUGCGCAAAUGUUAAAACCUCUUUGGGAAAGCAAUGUGGCAAAAUCUAGUAAAAGUUUUCAAUUACUAAACCCCAGCACUCUGCUCCUACCUAUAUGUCUUGUAGAAACUUUGGUAAGUGAACAAGGAUGUACGUAACAGCGCUGUGGGUAGAAGCAAAAAAUUAGAAACGUCCAUCAAUAACAGAAUAAAUACCUUAUGGGAUGUUAGGAUGUAGUAUUAUACGCCAAUAAAAGAAGACUGAACUCAGAAAUGUGAUGAGGCAAAAAGAGAAAGAUGUAGAAAAAUAAAUAGUAUGACAAUUCAUAUACAUUCAACUCUAAAACUUGUAAAACAAUGCUAUAUAUUGCUUAGUUAUGCAUACAUAUGUAGUUAAAGAAGUCAAGAAAUACAAGAGAAUGAAAAUCAAGUUGAGAAAAGCAGUCAUAUCUGAGGCUUCCUAAGAGAAGUGAUGCCCAAGACAUUAAAACAUGAAUGGGCGUUAGAUGAAGACAAAAGAGCAUUCCAUCGUAGAAGACAAUGUAGCAUGUGACGGUAAAGAUUUCCCAAGACCAAAAAGCUUAGGAGCACUGCCCCAUUCCACUGUUCUGCUGCUGGUUUUGCUUUGACUCUCCCAGAGGAAAACCGGGGUUGUCACUGGAAGUUCCUGAAGUAAUCUCCUUUUUUAGCAAACUUUUCAUUAUUACACUAUUUGGGUCAUGGUACAACUUUGCUGAAUUGCCUUGAACUGAAGUAUUGGAUUUUUACUUUAAUUUAUCCUGUGAUUAUGCUGAUUUUGCUUCACUGAUAUUCUGUCAUGUCCUUAGAUUUCUAAUGAAACUGCUCAGAAAUCAACCAGGUAAAAUUUUAUGGGAAAGUUAGGUGGGGAACUAGCACUUGGUUAUGUUUGUAUAAAAAGAAACCCACAAAAUUUUUUCUCAAAACAGUGUUUCUGGUUGUCAAAUGAAAUAGGGGAGCAAUUAGACUUCUGUCUGGUGAGUAGAUUAAAAUAUUUCUGCUGACUGCUAUUGUGUCCUUUCUGUACCUCUGAGGUAUCAUUCAGAUACUUGGCUGUCCUCUGAUGGAAUAAGAAGAAUCUGUGGUUGAAAUAUUUUGACUAUAGUACUUGCUGACAAAAGGCAAAAACCCUUUUAACAAUUAGAAAAAUUACUCUGGCUAAAGUUUCAUAUAUGCCAGGAAUAUUUGAAAUAGACCUUAUUUUUUUGAAAACUGACAAUAUAACCACUAUAAUGAACCACAAUGCCAUAAAAAUAUUUCUGCAUAAUAGUUAAUAUGAAAUGCCUUUAAAAGUUUUAGUACUGGGAUUUGUAGCGGAAGCAUAAAAUGCAAUGUGAAGAACAUUUCUCAGACAUUAGUUUAAUGCUAUUAAUUUGUACUUAGAUUUCAAAAUCUAUAGAUGCAAUUUUACUACCAAUUAUUUUCUUCAAACUAUUUUUAAAAUACCUAUGAUGCUUAAAUUUUCACUUCUGUAGUACAGUCCUCUCUCUAUAUCUGGGGGAAUUGCUUCCAGAACUACUCAGAUACCAAAAUUCAUGAAUGCUCAAGUCCCUGAUACAAAAUGGCAUAGUAUUUGCAUAUAACCUACACACAUCCUCCUAACAGUUUAAAUAAUCUCUACAUUAUUUAUUAAUAUGAUACCUAAUACAAUGUAAUGUUAUAUAAAUAAUUGUACCAU